AAUUUUGAUGCAGUUGCACCCGCGCUACUCUUUUGAGUGUGUUGCGGUGUGCGACGGUCAUUUUUCUGGGUAACUAUACUGUCCUUCACUGGGUGGUUGUGUGAACCGGUUCAUUUACUGUGAGACAAUCAGAGUGUUCAAAGCAGGCAUUUAUGCCUGUAUGUUUCAGCAUGGAAUAAUAAGAUAAGACUUUGGUUUCAUCUUGUUGACUAUGUUAAUCAAAGUAAUGAUUUAUAGAGAUAAUUGGGGGUGUUAGAAUUAAGUGCUCAGCGGUGAAAUGCUCAGACUCAUUUAAGACUAACUUAUGCGAAAGCAUU
Molecule: ribosomal RNA, 317 nt
Filed under: uncultured Thalassomyxa
Lineage: Eukaryota; Endomyxa; Vampyrellida
Description: SSU rRNA
Rfam family: Eukaryotic small subunit ribosomal RNA (bases 97-317)
Source: RNAcentral